Molecule: ribosomal RNA, 277 nt
Filed under: Elusimicrobia bacterium GWC2_51_8
Lineage: Bacteria; Pseudomonadati; Elusimicrobiota
Description: partial 16S ribosomal RNA
Rfam family: Bacterial small subunit ribosomal RNA
Source: RNAcentral
AUUUUUUGGAGAGUUUGAUCCUGGCUCAGAGUUAACGCUGGCGGCGUGCCUAACACAUGCAAGUCGAACGGAGCGUACCAGAAUAUCGGGCGCUUAGUGGCAGACGGGUGAGUAAUACUUAAGCAAUUUGCCCUCAAAUGGGAGAUAACUCGGCGAAAGCCGGACUAAUACCCCAUAUAAUCCUCCGGAGGCAUCAUCGGGGGAUGAAAGGCCCGCAAGGGUCGUUUGAGGAGAAGCUUGAGACCUAUCAGCUAGUUGGCGGUGUAACGGACCACCA